This 336-nucleotide unclassified non-coding RNA is filed under the name Hevea brasiliensis (rubber tree). The record is from RNAcentral. Lineage: Eukaryota; Viridiplantae; Streptophyta; Magnoliopsida; Malpighiales; Euphorbiaceae.
GGAAGUGAUAGUUACACUGCAGAGGAGUUCAAGAAUAACAUUGUAAGAGAGAGGGAAGGGAAGAAACCACUUCUUACAGGAGAUACAUGUGUGAGUCUCAAAGAUGGCAUUGGUUUGGUAGGUGAGAUUUCUUUCACUGACAAUUCAAGCUGGACUAGAAGCCGUCGGUUCAGGCUCGGUGCAAGAAUUAUAGACGACAAUGAUGGAACGAGAAUACUGGAAGCAAAGACUGCGUCAUUUGUGGUCAGAGAUCACCGUGGAGAAUUGUACAAAAAGCACCACCCUCCAUUUCUGCAGGAUGAAGUAUGGAGAUUGCAGAAAAUUAGCAAGGAUGGA